This 110-nucleotide non-coding RNA is filed under the name Paenibacillus sp. Its description in RNAcentral is "SAM-I sequence". It matches the Rfam family "SAM riboswitch aptamer (S box leader)". Rfam says of the family: The SAM riboswitch is found upstream of a number of genes which code for proteins involved in methionine or cysteine biosynthesis in Gram-positive bacteria. The SAM riboswitch acts at the level of transcription termination control. Lineage: Bacteria; Bacillati; Bacillota; Bacilli; Caryophanales; Paenibacillaceae. The record is from RNAcentral.
UUCUUAUCAAGAGCAGGCGGAGGGACUAGCCCGAUGAAGCCCGGCAACCGGCGUGUAAAACGCACGGUGCUAAUUCUUGCGGAAACUUUAAUGUUUCUGAGAGAUGAGAG